Molecule: small RNA, 28 nt
Filed under: Bombyx mori (domestic silkworm)
Lineage: Eukaryota; Metazoa; Arthropoda; Insecta; Lepidoptera; Bombycidae
Description: ovarian small RNA-3814
Source: RNAcentral
UGGCAGCGAUGGCACUGCGCCGGUCCUC